Molecule: unclassified non-coding RNA, 395 nt
Filed under: fungal sp.
Lineage: Eukaryota; Fungi
Description: partial internal transcribed spacer region
Source: RNAcentral
AAGUCGUAACAAGGUUUCCGUAGGUGAAUUGUGGAAGGAUCAUUAACAACGUUAAACCCCCCGUGCAUCUUUAGAGAGCUCUUGUAAGCCCAUUAUGACAGCAAUCCUGGUAAAUCAGUGGCGAAAGUAGUCUUUGAUUCAGGACCUCUGUCUGGUGAGAACCUAGCGGUAAGCGAGCAAUUGAGCCUUUUAUCGUCAGUCUGGAGUGGCCGGGAGAAUGAAAGUGUCGCUGGUUUCUAGGGUAAGGCUUCGCCAUCACUGGAGGCUCAACACGGGCCGGUGGACUGCAGGGUCCCCAUACCCCUUUAUGACCAAGUUAAAUAAGGCCUCUACCACAUAGCAAGUGCGCCGUGGUAGAGAACGUACAGCUGUUAACAAUGGAUAUCUUGGUUCUC